Non-coding RNA from Glycine soja, 84 nucleotides. The record is from Rfam. Lineage: Eukaryota; Viridiplantae; Streptophyta; Magnoliopsida; Fabales; Fabaceae.
UGGCUUGUGAUGAUAAGCUAAUUAUCUUAGCGGAUUUCAGUGAGAUUUCUAUCUAUGAUCUGAUUGUUACACACACUGAAGCCA